GUUCCCGUGGUGCAGUGGUUAGCAUAUCGCUCUUAUAUUGUUCACCCUUUUCUGGGUAGCAGCCAUGCGGAGAUCGCGAGUUCAAUCCUCGCCGGGAACA
Molecule: transfer RNA, 100 nt
Filed under: Eutypa lata
Lineage: Eukaryota; Fungi; Ascomycota; Sordariomycetes; Xylariales; Diatrypaceae
Also listed under: 1 other name
Description: tRNA-Ile
Rfam family: tRNA
About the family: Transfer RNA (tRNA) molecules are approximately 80 nucleotides in length. Their secondary structure includes four short double-helical elements and three loops (D, anti-codon, and T loops).
Source: RNAcentral